UUCUUUUUCUUUUUGUAGCAAUUUUUUACAAUUCUUUGGUUUAAAUGACUUUGUGAGGGUCACCUAUACCGGAGUUGCCUUUUUGCUUUCUUUUAUUUUUUUUGUUUUUCUGGAUCAUUCACUUAUUUGCAUCGGUCCCCUACGUAGAGGAUGCGUAGGGCGGAGCUGAUUGUUGAGAUAAACUACUAAGGACUUAGACGGAAAUGAUGACUAAGGCCAUGGUAU
Molecule: long non-coding RNA, 225 nt
Filed under: Lathyrus oleraceus (garden pea)
Lineage: Eukaryota; Viridiplantae; Streptophyta; Magnoliopsida; Fabales; Fabaceae
Description: Pisum sativum (pea) long non-coding RNA (PSAT_LNC020925)
Source: RNAcentral